This 208-nucleotide ribosomal RNA is filed under the name uncultured bacterium. RNAcentral describes it as "partial 16S ribosomal RNA". It matches the Rfam family "Bacterial small subunit ribosomal RNA", at positions 567 to 774 of the family's 1533-position model. The record is from RNAcentral.
GAGCGUAGACGGAUGGACAAGUCUGAUGUGAAAGGCUGGGGCUCAAUCCCGGGACUGCAUUGGAAACUGCCCGUCUUGAGUGCCGGAGAGGUAAGCGGAAUUCCUAGUGUAGCGGUGAAAUGCGUAGAUAUUAGGAGGAACACCAGUGGCGAAGGCGGCUUACUGGACGGUAACUGACGUUGAGGCUCGAAAGCGUGGGGAGCAAACA